Molecule: unclassified non-coding RNA, 235 nt
Filed under: plant metagenome
Description: partial contains small subunit ribosomal RNA, internal transcribed spacer 1, and 5.8S ribosomal RNA
Source: RNAcentral
UUUCCGUAGGUGAACCUGCGGAAGGAUCAUUACCGAGUGAGGGCCCUCUGGGUCCAACCUCCCACCCGUGUUUAUCGUACCUUGUUGCUUCGGCGGGCCCGCCGCAGGGCCGCCGGGGGGCAUCUGCCCUCUGGCCCGCGCCCGCCGAAGACACCAUUGAACGCUGUCUGAAGAUUGCAGUCUGAGCAAUUAGUUAAAUAACUUAAAACUUUCAACAACGGAUCUCUUGGUUCCG